This 453-nucleotide ribosomal RNA is filed under the name Actinoplanes sp. BCRU-ME3. Its description in RNAcentral is "bacterial SSU rRNA". It matches the Rfam family "Bacterial small subunit ribosomal RNA", at positions 13 to 484 of the family's 1533-position model. Lineage: Bacteria; Bacillati; Actinomycetota; Actinomycetes; Micromonosporales; Micromonosporaceae. The record is from RNAcentral.
UUGAUCCUGGCUCAGGACGAACGCUGGCGGCGUGCUUAACACAUGCAAGUCGAGCGGAAAGGCCCUUCGGGGUACUCGAGCGGCGAACGGGUGAGUAACACGUGAGUAACCUGCCCCAGACUUUGGGAUAACCCUCGGAAACGGGGGCUAAUACCGAAUAUGACCNCNGNUCGCAUGGUGGGUGGUGGAAAGUUUUUCGGUUUGGGAUGGACUCGCGGCCUAUCAGCUUGUUGGUGAGGUAAUGGCUCACCAAGGCGAGGACGGGUAGCCGGCCUGAGAGGGCGACCGGCCACACUGGGACUGAGACACGGCCCAGACUCCUACGGGAGGCAGCAGUGGGGAAUAUUGCACAAUGGGCGGAAGCCUGAUGCAGCGACGCCGCGUGAGGGAUGACGGCCUUCGGGUUGUAAACCUCUUUCAGCAGGGACGAAGCGCAAGUGACGGUACCUGCAG